This 74-nucleotide transfer RNA is filed under the name bacterium. RNAcentral describes it as "tRNA-Val". It matches the Rfam family "tRNA". From Rfam's summary of the family: Transfer RNA (tRNA) molecules are approximately 80 nucleotides in length. The record is from RNAcentral.
GCGCGCGUAGCUCAGCUGGUUAGAGCGUUGCAUUGACAUUGCAGAGGUCCCUGGUUCGAAUCCAGGCGUGCGCA